RNAcentral lists this ribosomal RNA (567 nucleotides) under uncultured bacterium. RNAcentral's name for it is "bacterial SSU rRNA". It matches the Rfam family "Bacterial small subunit ribosomal RNA", at positions 338 to 916 of the family's 1533-position model. The record is from RNAcentral.
CCUACGGGAGGCAGCAGUGGGGAAUAUUGGGCAAUGGAGGAAACUCUGACCCAGCGACGCCGCGUGAGGGAUGAAGGCCUUCGGGUUGUAAACCUCUUUCAGUAGGGAAGAAGCGAAAGUGACGGUACCUACAGAAGAAGCACCGGCUAACUAUGUGCCAGCAGCCGCGGUAAUACAUAGGGUGCAAGCGUUGUCCGGAAUUAUUGGGCGUAAAGAGCUCGUAGGUGGUUCGAUACGUCGGAUGUGAAAAUCAGGGGCUCAACCCCUGACCUGCAUCCGAUACGGUCGAGCUAGAGUUUGGUAGGGGAGACUGGAAUUCCUGGUGUAGCGGUGGAAUGCGCAGAUAUCAGGAGGAACACCGAUGGCGAAGGCAGGUCUCUGGGCCAAUACUGACACUGAGGGGCGAAAGCGUGGGGAGCGAACAGGAUUAGAUACCCUGGUAGUCCACGCCGUAAACGGUGGGCGCUAGUUGUGCGAACCUUCCACGGUUUGUGCGACGCAGCUAACGCAUUAAGCGCCCCGCCUGGGGAGUACGAUCGCAAGAUUAAAACUCAAAGGAAUUGACGG